GUCCUACGGGGGGCAGCAGUAGGGAAUCUUCCACAAUGGACGAAAGUCUGAUGGAGCAACGCCGCGUGAGUGAAGAAGGGUUUCGGCUCGUAAAGCUCUGUUGGUAGUGAAGAAAGAUAGAGGUAGUAACUGGCCUUUAUUUGACGGUAAUUACUUAGAAAGUCACGGCUAACUACGUGCCAGCAGCCGCGGGAAUACGUAGGUGGCAAGCGGUGUCCGGAUUUAUUGGGCGUAAAACGAAUGCAGGCGGAUCCAUAAAACUGAUGUGGAAGCCUUCUGGGCAACCGG
Molecule: ribosomal RNA, 288 nt
Filed under: uncultured bacterium
Lineage: Bacteria
Description: partial 16S ribosomal RNA
Rfam family: Bacterial small subunit ribosomal RNA
Source: RNAcentral